CACGGGGGUUGCGAGCGUUGUCCGGAAUUACUAGGCGUAAAGGGUGCGUAGGCGGUCUUUCAAGCCAGAAGUGAAAGGCUACGGCUCAACCGUAGUAAGCUCUUGAAACUGUAAGACUUGAGUGCAGGAGAGGAGAGUGGAAUUCCUAGUGUAGCGGUGAAAUGCGUAGAUAUUAGGAGGAACACCAGUUGCGAAGGCGGCUCUCUGGACUGUAACUGACGCUGAGGCACGAAAGCGUGGGGAGCAAACAGGAUUAGAUACCCGUGUAGUCCCU
RNAcentral lists this ribosomal RNA (274 nucleotides) under uncultured prokaryote. RNAcentral describes it as "partial 16S ribosomal RNA". It matches the Rfam family "Bacterial small subunit ribosomal RNA", at positions 524 to 798 of the family's 1533-position model. The record is from RNAcentral.